UACGUAGGGGGCGAGCGUUGUCCGGAAUGACUGGGCGUAAAGGGUGCGUAGGCGGCCCGAGAGGUCCUGGGUGAAAGGCCCCGGCUCAACCGGGGAGGGCCCCAGGAAACCGGCGGGCUAGAGGGCUGGAGAGGGCCGCGGAAUUCCCGGUGUAGCGGUGAAAUGCGUAGAUAUCGGGAGGAACAUCAGUGGCGAAGGCGGCUGCCUGGCCCAAUACUGACACUCAGGUGCGACAGCGUGGGGAGCAAACAGG
RNAcentral lists this ribosomal RNA (253 nucleotides) under uncultured bacterium. RNAcentral describes it as "partial 16S ribosomal RNA". It matches the Rfam family "Bacterial small subunit ribosomal RNA", at positions 524 to 776 of the family's 1533-position model. The record is from RNAcentral.